AAAAGACAAGAAAACAGAUUCUUCCCUGAAACGUCCAGAUAGGACACAGGCCCACAGAUCUUUAUUUUAAAUCUGUCACUUCCAGAACCCUAAGAGAAUGAAUUUGUAUUGUUUUAAGCCAUUAGGUUUGUGGUAAUAGAAAAUUAAUACAUAAAUUAAAUAGUCUCUGCUCUUCAAACACUCAUCAUUUGGUGUCAGCUACCUCGUCUCAGCAGGUACUAAACUAGAAGAACUCUGAUUUGAUCAAGAGCCGAGUUGAACUUAUAGAAAAGCGGCUGAUAUUUGAUCUGCCACCCCUCUCAAUUCCUAUGACUAUGCCUCAGUCAAACAUGCCUGGCUUUUCUCUCCGUUUAGAUCUAUCCUGACCAAGGACGAACAUUAUGAACUCAAAAAUCACCGUGUCAUGUCCUGAGAGAACCAGCCACUAUGGCCUGUAGCUCUGAGGGCCUUCUGCUGGCAAAUGGUCUGUGCCAGAUCAUCCUCCUCAGUCUAGGCAGGCCGGUGGCCUAGAAGUGGCAUUACUGACAUCUAUCUGACUCUGAGCUCAGAACUUGGCACUGCCCUGUGCAGAUAUUACCUGCGAUCUUAUUUUCCAGAUGAAGGAAACUGAGAUCCACGUUUGUAUAACCAGCAGCUAGCAGAAGGACUGUUUGGAUUCAGUUAAGUCCAACUUAAAGUCAGCCCCACCAAGUCCAGAUUUCUCUGAACUGAAGGACUCCCAAAAAAGUACCACAUCUGCCCCACCCAUCCCUUGGCCUGUUAUUAUACCCACUUGUCUAUAACCCCAAGCUCUGACCAUCACGUACUUGGUUAAGACUGGAGAUGAAGUCCCCCCACCGCCAGAGUUUCUGUUAUGGUGCAACACGGAAUGCUACACAAAGACCAGAGGUGUGCUUAGUCACUGAGCAUCAAAAGAGAAGACAAGAAUGAAAGAGCAUACGUUUAUCAAAGAGACUGUUUGGGAAAAAUGUGUUUUCAUCUCAGUCAACCAGGUGAUCCAUGAGGUGGUUAAGGAAACCUUUAAGGAAAGAAGAAAGCAAUCAUGGAAAUGAAGCAGAGUCUUUGGGCAGUUGGCCGUGGGUGGAUUAGUGAGUUUGCUUUAUUUCUCUUAAGGAUUUUGACCUCUUAUAUUUGGUUUGUUUUAUCUCCAUUAUUUCUAUCCUAAUCUAGACUACAAUCACCUCUUAUAAGAUACUGUUAUAAGACUUUAAAUGUCUAUGAAUUGUUUUUUCCAUAUCUUAUCUAACCAACUGUAGCCCCCAAAAUCUAUACUAGAAGCCAUAACAAAUUUUCUCAUACUUUGAAAAUAAUCACCCUACUGUUUUUGGCUUCCAUUACUCCUAUUGAGAAGUCAGAUAUCAAACAUAUUAUUGCUCCUAUGACAGGAAUGUGCAUUAUUUUUCUUUUUGACUUUGGUUUUUACUAUCUUUUAUUAUCUUAUCUUGGUCUUGUUGUCAUAUUUAUUUGAACUGCAUUACUGUAAUUAUUGUAUUUAUACUCUUGACAUUACAGAGCUUCAUGAACCUGAGGAUUAAUAUCAUUCAUCAACUCUGGAAAGUAUUCAGCCAUUAUCUGCUUAAAUAUUGCUCCUGCUUUUUUAAUACCAUUUCCUUCUGGAAUUCCAUUUAUGUAUUAGAUGUAUUGAUUGUCUAUAUCUAUGUUUCUUUCCUGUAUUUUCAGGAGUUUUUUUCUUUUUCUUUUUAGGGCCACUCUCAUGGCAUAUGGAGGUUGCCAGGCUAGACGUCCAAUCAGAGCUACAGCUGCCAGCCUACACCACAGCCACAGCAAUGCCAGAUCCUUAACCCAAUGAGUGAGGCCAGGGAUCAAACCCACAGCCUCAUGGUUCCUAGUCAGAUUAGUUUCUACUGCACCACAACGGGAACUCCUCUUUUCUGUAUUUUCUAUAUUUUAUCCCCAUGUAAUAAAUUAUGGAGAUUUUCUGUUGAUCUGCCUUCCAGAUCAUUAAUUCUACUUAUUAUUAGAUCUAGUAACUGUUACUGUUACUGAUAUUAUUCAUUCAGUUCUAGAAUUUCCCAUCUGAUUUGAUCUUAUAGAUUCAAACCUCUGAUAUAUCCUCUAUAAUCACAGCCAUUUUCUCCAUGUUCUUAAAUGUGUGUGUGUGUGUGUGUGUGUGUGUAUUUACUUAAAUAUACAUAUUUACUUAAAAGUCUUGUUGACUAACUCCUAUAGCUAGAUCACAUGUGGGCCCAUUUCUUUUCUGUUGUUUUUCAGUCAUGCAGUCCUGUGUUCUGGUGAGGGUGUUAAUUGGUAAAUUCAUGUAUAUUAUUUAUAAAACUUGUAGGUAGUCCAGGUAAUGUUGUUUUCCUCCAUAGACCAUUUGCCACUCCCGCAUUUAGGCAGAUAGAGUAGUAGCUGAUCACUUUAACCUAAUCAGAGAUGAUGCUAUAGCAAGGUUGUGUUGUCAUCAAGGUAAAGUUCAGUCUAUUUCCUGUUUUCUUUUAUUUAGGGCACAGUCUUCUAAGAGUUUUAUCUAAAAGCCUGGUACACUCACUGUAUCACUUCUCCAUAAUGAGUUCUGAGCUCUAAUCUUCAUCUCUUGAAACUAUGAAGACUGUUGAAAAUGAAAACUCUGCAGUAUUUUUCACCCCAAAGGAUUUGAACUUAGGGUUUUUGCCUCCAACUCCAUGCAGCCUAGAAUUCAACUGAGGGGAAACCAGCUACAUGCAUGAGAACUCCCAAGUCUCUCCCACAAGCUCUGCUGGCUUCCCUUUUCUCCAGUAGCAGCCUUCCACUAGUGCAAAUCUUGGAUAUUCAGCCUGGGUACAGAAUUGCAGAAUUACACCACAAGAAAUGCCAGAGGAAGUUCUUUAGACCAGUGUAAAAUGACAUUAGAUGGAAACUUAGAUCCAUAAGGACUAAGGCUGUGAAAAGUAAAGAUAAAAUAUAGAAAUCAUCUGUUCGAAGGCAGCACAUAAUUGCUAAGGCAAAGAGGAUGAGUGUGGCUAAGAAUCUGGAAAAGUGAACUGACUUCUACAGCCUCUUUUAAACUGGUCCAUUCACUGUUCUGGUAUCUUCUUUUUUUUUUUUCCAGCUGUUCUCUACAGGAUCAAACUUUCCAUCAGUCACUCUUGGCAGUCUGUCAAUGUAAUCUUUUUAAACUCACAGAUCUACACAUCGGAAUAUUCCUCUGCUUCAUAUCUCCAAGUGACCCCUACUAGUGAUUAGAGUAAAAUUAAUUUACAAGCCCACUUUCUUCUACAUGUCUGUCUGCUACCUUCCCAAAAUAACCUUGCAUUUUCUACAUUCCCCACACCCACUGCACUGCAACCAAGCUGCAGAUUUUAUCCCUCACUCCAGGCCUUGACACCCAUGCUGUUCCCCCCCCCCCCCCGCCUCCCUUGGAUAUGCUUCUAGAAAAGCCUUCCUAGAGGAUAAGUCUGGAUUUACAGUAGUGAUCUUCGACCCGGUUCCCUGAUUUGGAUGGUGGGGUUGAGGAGGGGGAUCCAUUUAUUUUUCAAUACUCCUCUGCCAAUUAUUAGCUGUGCAACCCCAGAAAAUGUGUUGCAUCUGUAAAAUGGGGGAAAUAUUCAAAACUCUUGGUGAGGACUAAACCAGGAGCUGCAUUUUUAAAUGCUUGCCUUUCCAUGACACUGGUCUCCCUCUUUAAACCAAAGCACAUCAACCAAUAAGGAACAUUUCCAUCAGUCAGACUGGCUUGAGUUUCUAUGGCAAUGUUCCACUUCCCUUUUUUCAGCAGUCUGGCCUUAGCCAUGAGAUACGUUUUGAGACAUUGUAAUGACACAUAAACUCAUUCCCAUCUUAACAAGAACCAUGCCCCUACUUAAAGCCAAGGAGAUGCUCCUGUUAUGAGCCAUUAUUUCUUGGAGAAACAAGAAAAAAAUCCUUAGAAGCAAGUAUGCUGCAUAUUUUUAAAACAGCCUAAUCCUUGACUAACUGCAAUAUGUCUGUGAUUUCUUUUUUCUCCUCAUGUUUUACAUCCAUUAUGUAGUUCUAUUGUUCAAACAGCACUUACAAUGAAAUUGUGCCAGUAAAGAGACAUAGCAUCUCUGGGUCCUUUUAGUCCAGCUGUGAACUUUAGACUUAAUCCUUUAGGGCACCCUUGUCUGGUAAGCUUGAGUUUAUAUUAAAUUUUCUAAAAGGAAAGGCAGAAUGGUCAAAGCAAGAUAGGCAGACAGACAAGAGUCUGUCUUUCAUAAAUUAAUAAGCAUCACCGGCCGCCUUACUUGACCCUUUAAACUCUGUGAAAUUAAUAUAAGUAGACAACUAAGGCCCACUUGCCCCCCUCCAGAGCCUUGCAAGUUCACUUAAGCAAUGCAAGUUUCCUUAAAGUUUUAUAAGCCAGCUUUUAGAGCAAGUCCUUUGUACUUAUUACUGGUGACAGUGAGCAUUAUGGCAGCCAAUGAACCUUACUGACUUACGACCCCAAUAUGGUCGAGUACUGUUACCAAGGGAAAUAUCAGAAUCAAUGCUUGUAUAUUACAUUGAGGUCCUGACUUCUGAAAAGGCCCCCUCUAGACCCUUCAGAAUACGUCAGUGAAAUAAACAGCUAAUACUGCCGGUCUACGGACAAUGGUCAAAAAGUGCUGUUUAUUUAACAACUUUUCAACCAUCUUAACCCUUCUAAAGAGUGUAGGUUUCUAAAAGAAAGAAAAAACAAAUAUUCAUGGCCCCAAUUCUUUUGCAACGAUCCAGAUUUAUGCCCACUUUUCCAAGGAACAGCAUGUGUGGUCUUGCCUUAGGGAGCAAGGAACAUAAUGUCAUCUUCUCCCUCAAUUAACAGGCUUGCAUUAUGAAACAGCUCUGGUGGAAGGGGUGAAGGUACCACACCUCAUCUCCCAUGGUGUCCCCCAGGUGAGCUUACAGUCAGCUUCGCUGGAGGAAGGCUGGGCUCACCACCAUUUUUUAUUUAGUGGAGUCAUCAUGUCACUGCUUUGAAAGUAACCUCUCCUACAUAUAUCAUCACCAACUCUGUGCUUGGGAUUCUUAUGUAACUUUUUUUAAAAAGUCCAUUUCAGUCAUACUUGGGUUUUUUAUGACUUAGAUGUUCUGCCAGGCAUAAGAAAAUAAUCUAUAGUUAUUGUGAUUUUUCAGAGCAUAAGUUCUUUAGGGCUUUUUCCCCAGUAU
RNAcentral lists this long non-coding RNA (5106 nucleotides) under Sus scrofa (pig). Its description in RNAcentral is "lncRNA (ENSSSCG00000053322.1)". Lineage: Eukaryota; Metazoa; Chordata; Mammalia; Artiodactyla; Suidae. The record is from RNAcentral.